This 168-nucleotide ribosomal RNA is filed under the name Leptolobium panamense. RNAcentral describes it as "partial 5.8S ribosomal RNA". It matches the Rfam family "5.8S ribosomal RNA". Rfam says of the family: 5.8S ribosomal RNA (5.8S rRNA) is a component of the large subunit of the eukaryotic ribosome. It is transcribed by RNA polymerase I as part of the 45S precursor that also contains 18S and 28S rRNA. The record is from RNAcentral. Lineage: Eukaryota; Viridiplantae; Streptophyta; Magnoliopsida; Fabales; Fabaceae.
UCUAGAAUGACUCUCGGCAACGGAUAUCUCGGCUCUNNNNUCGAUGAAGAACGCAGCGAAAUGCGAUACUUGGUGUGAAUUGCAGAAUCCCGUGAACCAUCGAGUCUUUGAACGCAAGUUGCGCCCGAAGCCAUCAGGCCGAGGGCACGCCUGCCUGGGUGUCGCACA